This 449-nucleotide ribosomal RNA is filed under the name uncultured bacterium. RNAcentral describes it as "bacterial SSU rRNA". It matches the Rfam family "Bacterial small subunit ribosomal RNA", at positions 355 to 796 of the family's 1533-position model. The record is from RNAcentral.
UGGGGAAUUUUGCGCAAUGGGCUAACGCCUGACGCAGCAACGCCGCGUGGAGGAUGAAGGUCUUUGGAUUGUAAACUCCUGUCAGCGGGGAAAAAGCAACCGUACCUCAUACGUACGGAAGUUGAUUGUACCCGCAGAGGAAGCCCCGGCUAACUCUGUGCCAGCAGCCGCGGUAAUACAGAGGGGGCAAGCGUUAUUCGGAAUUAUUGGGCGUAAAGGGCGCGUAGGCGGCCUGACAAGUGGAAGGUGAAAUCCCUCGGCUUAACCGAGGAACUGCCCUCCAAACUGUUUGGCUUGAGACCGGGAGAGGUGAGUGGAAUUCCCAGUGUAGCGGUGAAAUGCGUAGAUAUUGGGAGGAACACCAGUGGCGAAGGCGGCUCACUGGACCGGUACUGACGCUGAGGCGCGAAAGCGUGGGGAGCAAACGGGAUUAGAUACCCCCGUAGUCC